GGAAGUAAAAGUCGUAGCAAGGUUUCUGUAGGUGAACCUGCGGAAGGAUCAUUAUUGUAUAACCGAGGUGCGAGGGCUGUCGCUGACCCGAAAGGUCGUGCACGCCCGAGUGCCCUCACACACAUCCAUCUCACCCCUAUGUGCACCACCGCGUGGGUCCCCCUUUGGCUUGUUCGGAGGGGGGCUUACGUUUUCACACAAACUUUGUAUGCAGUGUAGAAUGUAUUUUUUGUUUUUGCGAUCACGCAAUCAAUACAACUUUCAACAACGGAUCUCUUGGCUCUC
Molecule: unclassified non-coding RNA, 285 nt
Filed under: plant metagenome
Description: partial contains small subunit ribosomal RNA, internal transcribed spacer 1, and 5.8S ribosomal RNA
Rfam family: Eukaryotic small subunit ribosomal RNA (bases 1-54)
Source: RNAcentral